UACACUCCUGCGGGAGGCAGCAGUGGGGAAUAUUGGACAAUGGGCGCAAGCCUGAUCCAGCCAUGCCGCGUGAGUGAUGAAGGCCCUAGGGUUGUAAAGCUCUUUCACCGGAGAAGAUAAUGACGGUAUCCGGAGAAGAAGCCCCGGCUAACUUCGUGCCAGCAGCCGCGGUAAUACGAAGGGGGCUAGCGUUGUUCGGAAUUACUGGGCGUAAAGCGCACGUAGGCGGAUCGAUCAGUCAGGGGUGAAAUCCCAGGGCUCAACCCUGGAACUGCCUUUGAUACUGUCGAUCUGGAGUAUGGAAGAGGUGAGUGGAAUUCCGAGUGUAGAGGUGAAAUUCGUAGAUAUUCGGAGGAACACCAGUGGCGAAGGCGGCUCACUGGUCCAUUACUGACGCUGAGGUGCGAAAGCGUGGGGAGCAAACAGGAUUAGAUACCCUUGUAGUCCCAUGA
Molecule: ribosomal RNA, 452 nt
Filed under: uncultured organism
Description: partial 16S ribosomal RNA
Rfam family: Bacterial small subunit ribosomal RNA
Source: RNAcentral